UUCAAGUAUUUAGGUUAUAUCAUCCAAAAGGAGUAAUAGAUGAGAAUCUAACUCAUAGAAUCAAAACAGGUUGGAUGAAACAGAGUAGUGCGAUGGAUGUGUUAUGAGACUGUAGGAUCCUUGAAAAAGUGAAAAGUAAGUUCUAUAGAAUUGUGGUUAAGCUAGUUGUAUUGUAUGGGAGUGAAUGUUGGGCCCUCUAAGGAGGAUCAAUUAAGAUGGUUUGGUCAUAUCCAACGUAGAGUCUUGAAUGUCCUAGUAUGAAAGUGUGAAAAGUUAAUAGUGGAAUGAGUCAGAGAAGAAAGGGGGAGACCUGAAAUGAUGUGGAGGGAAGUAUUAAAAGUUUUACAAUUUUUUGGAUAAUGAUGUGGAAUUGGUUUCAAAUAGAACUGAAUGACGAAAAAAAUCCAUGUAGGCGAUCCCAAUUAGUUUGAGAUAAAGGCUUAGUUGUUGUUGUUUUAGUGGUGUUCAAUGUAUUGUUAGCAUUUCAAACUUUAUCUGAAGCCUAAAGUGAUAAACUAUGUAGCACGGAAACAGAAACGUGAACACGGGGAAACGUGAAAGCAGACACUGGAAAAUGGCAUUUUC
Molecule: unclassified non-coding RNA, 585 nt
Filed under: Hevea brasiliensis (rubber tree)
Lineage: Eukaryota; Viridiplantae; Streptophyta; Magnoliopsida; Malpighiales; Euphorbiaceae
Source: RNAcentral